UCGUAAUCGUGAUUAAAAUUCGAUUAAUUGAGCAGCCCUACCCGAAGCCCCAACCAGGUCAUGACCACAGCCCCUGGAUUGAGCCCUCCAGGAAAAACAUCCCUAGGGAAUCCCCAGACACCUCAAGCUGGUACCUGCCCCCAAAACAACCACAAUAGCGAAGGCGGGACAAAACUAUGACUCCCCACCCCCACUAGGUGAUGGAGCUGAUCAAAGGAGCCCAGAGGGAUUGAUCUAAUGUGGUGGCAGAGGCUGUAUCAAGAUAAAUAUGAUCUAUCAGAUGGUCUCCAUAUUGGUUAGAAUUUAUAUUAUUUUUAAAGUUCAUGAGGACCAUUUUCUUGGCAAUAAAAACCGUGUGGUCUGUAUUCAUCUCUGUAGUGACAUCAUCAGACACAAGCACCCUAGUUAUGCCAAACACAUCAAAAGAUCUGCUAUGCCAAGAUGACAUCCCCACAGCAAAUGAACAAUCAGAUUCAACAAAUUCCAUCUACAACUUGACCGAGGAAAAGCCAGAAGAUAAAACCGAGCUUUGCAAGACUAAAUCUGAAAAACUGACUUUGCCACAAAAAUGGCAAUCAUUUUUCCACUCAAACCACAAACUAAAAUUUCAAAAGCUAAGCUAACACAAACCUGAAAACACACAAAAUGGCUCCUGAUGUUGUGCAUGUAUUUUCCCUCCCUGGAGCAUAAAAUCCUGUUACAGAAAUCGAGAAAUAAGGGAAAUUUUAAGCACCAUGCAGUUUUGCAUGGUGGAAUGGGACCAAUGACAGUGAACAGAAGACCCAAGACUAAAGCAGUAGAGGGAAGUUUGUUUAUUGCUUUUACUGUCAAGGGAUGUAUGUUCGGAAGGACCUUUGGAGACAUGUCCGCAGAUGUAUUAACAAACCAAAAGAUGACACGGAAAAGGCCCCACAAAGUAAGAAUAUAUUCGACAGAAGCUUAGUGAAGUGGGAUAUUUGUUGUGUCUGCGUGCAGAAUUCUUAGUGCAUAACAUGGAGAAAGCCAUUACGUCUGCUAACUUCCAGAGAGUUGUGCAAGCGGUAAAGAAAGCUUCAGGUUUCGUUGAAGAGACACUGUCAUUCACAAGCCUCGCACAAAAACUGGGACAUACACUACACAAAAUCUCUGACAUUAUCCAUUGUCGAGCCCUCAUGGCAGAGGAUUAAGCCCUAAUCAAGUCCAUUGACACGUUCAAGAAGUUGUAAGCCUCAAAUUGUCUCGCUGUGCCUUGAACACAUCGAGUGAGACAAAGUAUAAACAUUGCCCUUCACAGAAGAUGUUCAGAUUCUCCCUCACUACUUUCAAAAAUCUGCAGCAAAUGCCUUUUGUUACUUGGAGAACGAAGCCACAGCUUUUUCUUUUUCAUUAGCAUUCAAGUCUCUGAAUGAAUACAGAAUAAAGAUCUUUCCAUUUACAUAGUGCUCGAAGCAAAAGAGUAAAACAAGACCAAAAAAAACCCCCCUUCCACCUUAGAAGUACAUUAAAUUUCAUAACGAUAAUCCAAGCAGCACAGCUGGCCAAGAUUUCCAAACUUCUUUUAUCAAUGGAGAAAAGACUUUCCAUGAUCCAGGGAAAAUCACUGGAUGAGAUUGAAAUUCAAGGUUUGUAUUGAAAGGAGCAAAUAUUAGGGCUAGGCAGGAGUUGAACAUUAUCCUUAAUCAACAGAAUUAAAACCUUAAAACACGGACAAUUAACAGAAUUGUCCAUGUUUUAAGGUUCUUGAAGUCUUUUCUUUCAUCACUUUGCAACUUAGCAGAGUGGUGGCCCAUGUACACCUAUGUACCGUGAUAAAAGUGUUAUUUCCAGUAUUAACUUUCUUCUGUAUUUUAUCAUGUGAGAGUGGGACUGAAUCCGAUGAUGAUGGUACAGAACUCGCAACGUCGGCAUGUGGUACACGUGAGCCUGUGCAUGCAGUCGCCGAGUCCACAAACGCAGAGCAGGUCCAAGACACUGGAGAUUGUGCAAAUGAAGUGCUACUAUGGAUGCCUACAGCAAUGAAACUGCCGCUCCCUCUGAAGAUAAAAAUGCUGCUCAAGCCCGUAAUUCAAGAAGAGCUCCCAUAAAAAAGGUGGUCCAAGGCUGAGGUUGCUGCAGUGAUGAAGCAUUUUAAUGACCACAUAAACAAAGGGAAACUGGCCACCAGAAAUGAAUGCAGUCAUUGGAAACUGGCAGAGGAACCAGUGUUGGCAGGAAGAACAGUUCAGAACAUAAAAGAUUUGAUAAACUCGAGAAGCAACCCCAGAUCGGAUCAAAAGUAAAAUUGUUUUUUGGACGGUUGGGUGGAUACAUCAUUUCCAUAACUGGCCACCGAAAGGGUGUGGCCAUCAACAUGAGUAUUGAGGAAUAGAAUAUUUAGAUGUACAAUGAGAUAGAGAGAAAAUGAAGUAUUGCACAGUGGUAUUUUAUAGAGGGAAAGCCCUUGGAAUGGGGGGGCUGUGUUAUCAGUGAAUCAGAGGGGGUUUAAACGGUAGAAAAAAACUAAGCAUGGUGCCCACAUCAUCCGUAAGUACGAAAACUAUAAGAGUUAUAGUUACCUAAGAGGCAUAUACAUUGUUUAGUCAGCUGAUCAGAGAGAAUGAACAUGUCUUUUGAUUUAUUAGGUUGAACAGCACAAGACUCAAAAGUACCAUGGGCAAGCAGCGGUCCCUCUAUAGGAACGAGCACGCCUGGUUGCAGCGUUACAGCUAUUAGAGAAAAUAUUGAAGGCAGUUCGGAGGCAUCUACUUUUUCCCCACAGUUCCAAUGGAGGUGUUCAUCAUAAGCUACCGGAAAUUUCAAGGCAGCCUGGGAGAAGAUGAAUAUGGGGACUGCACCCACAUUCAACAUGCUAUAUUUCUCCAGUAGCACUUAUCUUAAGGACCCUGCAGAGGACACCCUCCAGAGCUGAGCACUGACAACGAAUGCAUUUUCAACAUAUGCAGCAAAGAAAGUGAAAAGGAGAGAGGACAGAGAAUCUAUGCAGGACAAAGACAAUCAAGGAUCUGACCAGGAAGAGCAGGAGUCAUCAGGACCAGAGAAGCUUCUAGAAAGAUGGCUCUCCCAGUGUCUGAAUAACAAGAUGGGGAGCCUCCCUCAGGAUGAAGGUGCUGGUGGUGCCAGAACCACAACCACAGGAAGACAAUUCGGAAGAGGACAAAGGACAAGUACGGAUAAGGGUUCCUAAGACAGCCACGAAAAAAACCCUGGGCGUCCUGUGUGUCAUAUACUGGGUUAUGUUAGUGCUUGUGUUGAGCUGUGGGCAUUGCAGCUUUAUGCCAUCUUUGCAGCUCCUAGCUGUUGCAUGCAUUGUUGUGCCGUUAUAACUGAUACCACAGGCGCCUGUAACUUUUACCAAAUGCUUUUACCUGCAGGUAGGGGGCUGAAGUCCAUUCCCGGCAGUUUGAUUUGUAUUUAAACCAUAAAUACCAACAUGAAGCUGCAUUUAGGUUUUGUUUUUUGUUUUUUUUAUAAAAUGUACAGGACAAGCCAAUAUUGAUGAUUACCAGUCCAAUACCAAAUUCCAACCGUGACUGAAGUUAGUCAGUCACUCUCAAGACACACGUAAGAACAAUUCCUUACAAAUGUCAACAAAUGUGUAAAUCCCGUUAUUAAAUUAUCUUUUACAAUAA
Molecule: long non-coding RNA, 3608 nt
Organism: Haplochromis burtoni (Burton's mouthbrooder)
Lineage: Eukaryota; Metazoa; Chordata; Actinopteri; Cichliformes; Cichlidae
Exons: 6
Source: RefSeq, a predicted model, not a curated record